Rhizoctonia solani is the source of this 98-nucleotide non-coding RNA. The record is from the annotation of a RefSeq genome assembly. Lineage: Eukaryota; Fungi; Basidiomycota; Agaricomycetes; Cantharellales; Ceratobasidiaceae.
GUUCCUAUGGUCUAGUGGUUAUGACGCUUCGUUGUGGUGGAGCAUCAUUCGGUGCUUUCGCAUCCGAAGCAGCCCGUGUUCGAUUCACGGUGGGGACA